Long non-coding RNA from Rana temporaria (common frog), 1824 nucleotides. RefSeq lists it as uncharacterized. The record is from RefSeq and is a predicted model, not a curated record. Lineage: Eukaryota; Metazoa; Chordata; Amphibia; Anura; Ranidae. The transcript is spliced from 2 exons.
CCAGGAGUCCAGGUGGACACGGACAAUUUUUCCACAAUUAAUUUUUUUGAUUUAUUUUUUUACUGAGGAACUGCUAUCUAGCAUUGUGGUUCAGUGCAACUUAUAUGCCCAACAAUUUAUUGCCAAGAAUCCAUCAUCUUCUUAUGCCCGUCCCUUCCAGUGGAGAGAUCUAACAGUGGAGGAGUUUAGGAUUUUUUUAUGCCUCACAUUUUGCAUGGGACUCAACCCAAAAAAUGAAAAGCAUUCCUUUUGGUCAAAACGCCCCAUUUACCAUAUGCCAAUCUUCUCUGCAACAAUGCCCAGAACCAGAUACUUCAUGAUCAUAAGGUUCCUCCACUUCAAUGAUAACACCCAGUGCCUUCCCCGAAAUCACCCAAAUUUUGACAGGCUUUUCAAAAUUCGCCCCUUAUUAAAUUAUUUUUCGGAAUUAUUCCCCCAGUUAUAUAGCCCGGAACAACACAUAUGUGUAGAUGAGUCCCUUGUUAAAUUUUGUGGCCGACUGAAAAUAGAGCAGUUUAUCCCCAGCCCGCUAUGGGGUGAAGGUUUACAAACUAUGUGAACGAGCCACAGGGUACCUGUAUUCCUUCUUGGUCUACGAAGGGAAGGACACCCAGCUGCAUCCCCCCCAUUUGCCCAGACUACUUGGGAUCAAGUGGAAAAGUUGUUUGGCAACUUAUCAACCCCCUACUGGAUAAAGGCUACCACUUGUACGUCGAUAACUUUUAUACCUCUCUUCCCCUGUUCCACAACCUUCAUCGGAAGCAGACCCCAGCAUGUGGCACGGUAAGAAAGAACAGGAAAGGCUUUCCUCAAAGCCUUGUGAAUAAAAAGCUGAGGAAAGGGGAAUCGGCAAGUCUGAGCAACAAGGAGGUUCUGGCAGUGAAGUGGAAGGACAGAAGACAUGUAUAUAAGUUGUCUUCCAUCCACAACAAUUCCUUUGUGGAAACCCGCAGAAGGCGUGGCACCACCAUCCAAAAGCCCACAUGUAUCCGGGACUACAAAACAUCCGACCAUAUGUAUCCACAUAUUCUCGGAUGGUCCACAUAACAUACACAUUGUAAUGUGUCUCACACAUCCCCACCCAUGGACACGCACUCUUUACCAGACUAAUAAAGUCUCUUAAUCACUUUUGUCUGCCAAUGGAGCACUCUUAUACUAUUUUUAUAUUAAGUACCUUAAUAUACACAUCAAUUCCUGACCAUUAAUCAUUGACUAGUUACCCCUUCGGGUCAUCAAUGAGUAGAUCUAAUUCAAUAAAAAGGAAAAAAGUUUUUUUUUUUUUUUUUUCAGAUAAGAUUACAAACCUGCUGCCAGUCCCUCCUUUUUUAUAUACAUGCCUUACCCACAGAUAAUCCUACACUUUAGCACAAUAUGCUAUGAUUUAAUAUUUCUAUAUCUCUUUAACUACACAGGGCUAACCCAUUGGGGGCACUCUGCAGGCACCAGCUCCCCUGAUCCUCGGAGGGCGUCCACUGUGCGGCUCCUUGCAACCCCCCUGGGGUCUGUUUUGGUUUCCCUCUCUCCCCCCUGGGGUUGUGGGUGGCGCUCCCUUUGGAUUUUCUAACGGCUCUGCACAUCUCUGGUCAUUACAAAACUCACUUCAUUCGUUAACGAAUCAACCAUCCCCCUGAAGAGACCACUUAGAGGUCGAAACGCGUCGGGGAACGCACAUCACACAGCAUAAAGCAAUGUUGUAUACAUUUGUCCAAUAUUGUGGAAUAUGUAUUGUAUCACCAGAUCCGGAAAGGGUUUUCUUUUAAUUGUUAUUGCAUUUAAAAUGUAUGUUAUUGACAACCAUAAAAUAAACCAUGUUUUAUUAUAUUA